UAGUAGUAUGGUGGGGGUGGCGAGUAGACUGGAGGAGGAGGUGACUUGUAGUAGUAUGGUGGUGGAGGAGAGUAGACGGGUGGAGGUGGUGACUUGUAAUAGUAUGGUGGGGGUGGCGAGUAAACUGGAGGAGGAGGUGACUUGUAGUAGUAUGGUGGUGGAGGAGAGUAGACGGGUGGAGGUGGUGACUUGUAGUAGUAUGGUGGGGGAGGAGAGUAAACGGGUGGAGGUGGUGACUUGUAGUAGUAUGGUGGGGGAGGAGAGUAGACAGGUGGGGGUGGUGACUUGUAGUAGUAUGGUGGGGGAGGAGAGUAGACAGGUGGGGGUGGUGACUUGUAGUAGUAUGGUGGGGGAGGAGAGUAGACAGGUGGAGGUGGUGACUUGUAGUAGUAUGGUGGGGGAGGAGAGUAGACGGGUGGAGGUGGUGACUUGUAGUAGUAUGGUGGUGGUGGAGAGUAGACUGGAGGAGGAGGUGACUUGUAGUAAUAUGGUGGUGGAGGAGAGUAGACGGGUGGAGGAGGUGACUUGUAGUAGUAUGGUGGGGGAGGAGAGUAGACGGGUGGAGGUGGUGACUUGUAGUAGUAUGGUGGUGGUGGAGAGUAUACUGGAGGUGGUGGUGAUUUGUAGUAGUAUGGUGGAGGUGGAGAGUAUACUGGAGGUGGUGGUGACUUGUAGUAGUAUGGUGGAGGUGGAGAGUAUACUGGAGGAGGUGGUGAUUUGUAGUAGUAUGGUGGGGGAGGAGAGUACACUGGAGGUGGUGGUGAUUUGUAGUAGUAUGGUGGAGGUGGAGAGUAUACUGGAGGAGGUGGUGACUUGUAGUAGUAUGGUGGAGGAGGGGAAUAUACUGGAGGCGGUGGUGACUUGUAAUAGUACACAGGUGAAGGUGGGGGAGGUGACUUGUAGAUAG
Molecule: long non-coding RNA, 907 nt
Filed under: Cucumis sativus (cucumber)
Lineage: Eukaryota; Viridiplantae; Streptophyta; Magnoliopsida; Cucurbitales; Cucurbitaceae
Description: long non-coding RNA (CSAT_LNC001391)
Source: RNAcentral